AAUGAACGUUGGCGGCGUGGAUUAGGCAUGCAAGUCGUGCGAGAAUCUCCUUCGGGAGAGGACAGCGGCGAAAGGGAGAGUAACGGGUGGUUACAUACCCUCAGGCCCGGGAUAGUGUCGGGAAACUGACAGUAAUACCGGAUAAUAUCUUUGGAUCAAAGGUGUGAUUCCGCCUGAGGAUUGGACCGCUUUCUAUUAGCUAGUUGGUGGGUAAUGGCCCACCAAGGCUCAGAUGGAUACCGGGUGUGAGAGCAUGGCCCGGCUCACUGGGACUGAGACACUGCCCAGACACCUACGGGUGGCAG
Molecule: ribosomal RNA, 305 nt
Filed under: uncultured Planctomycetota bacterium
Lineage: Bacteria; Pseudomonadati; Planctomycetota
Description: bacterial SSU rRNA
Rfam family: Bacterial small subunit ribosomal RNA
Source: RNAcentral